RNAcentral lists this ribosomal RNA (2902 nucleotides) under Klebsiella quasipneumoniae. Its description in RNAcentral is "23S ribosomal RNA". It matches the Rfam family "Bacterial large subunit ribosomal RNA". The record is from RNAcentral. Lineage: Bacteria; Pseudomonadati; Pseudomonadota; Gammaproteobacteria; Enterobacterales; Enterobacteriaceae.
GGUUAAGCGACUAAGCGUACACGGUGGAUGCCCUGGCAGUCAGAGGCGAUGAAGGACGUGCUAAUCUGCGAAAAGCGUCGGUAAGGUGAUAUGAACCGUUAUAACCGGCGAUGUCCGAAUGGGGAAACCCAGUGCAAUUCGUUGCACUAUCGUUAACUGAAUACAUAGGUUAACGAGGCGAACCGGGGGAACUGAAACAUCUAAGUACCCCGAGGAAAAGAAAUCAACCGAGAUUCCCCCAGUAGCGGCGAGCGAACGGGGAGCAGCCCAGAGUCUGAAUCAGCUUGUGUGUUAGUGGAACGGUCUGGAAAGUCCGACGGUACAGGGUGAUAGUCCCGUACACCAAAAUGCACAGGCUGUGAACUCGAAGAGUAGGGCGGGACACGUGGUAUCCUGUCUGAAUAUGGGGGGACCAUCCUCCAAGGCUAAAUACUCCUGACUGACCGAUAGUGAACCAGUACCGUGAGGGAAAGGCGAAAAGAACCCCGGCGAGGGGAGUGAAAAAGAACCUGAAACCGUGUACGUACAAGCAGUGGGAGCACCUUCGGGUGUGACUGCGUACCUUUUGUAUAAUGGGUCAGCGACUUAUAUUCUGUAGCAAGGUUAACCGUAUAGGGUAGCCGCAGGGAAACCGAGUCUUAACUGGGCGUUAAGUUGCAGGGUAUAGACCCGAAACCCGGUGAUCUAGCCAUGGGCAGGUUGAAGGUUGGGUAACACUAACUGGAGGACCGAACCGACUAAUGUUGAAAAAUUAGCGGAUGACUUGUGGCUGGGGGUGAAAGGCCAAUCAAACCGGGAGAUAGCUGGUUCUCCCCGAAAGCUAUUUAGGUAGCGCCUCGUGAACUCAUCUUCGGGGGUAGAGCACUGUUUCGGCUAGGGGGUCAUCCCGACUUACCAACCCGAUGCAAACUACGAAUACCGAAGAAUGUUAUCACGGGAGACACACGGCGGGUGCUAACGUCCGUCGUGAAGAGGGAAACAACCCAGACCGCCAGCUAAGGUCCCAAAGUCAUGGUUAAGUGGGAAACGAUGUGGGAAGGCACAGACAGCCAGGAUGUUGGCUUAGAAGCAGCCAUCAUUUAAAGAAAGCGUAAUAGCUCACUGGUCGAGUCGGCCUGCGCGGAAGAUGUAACGGGGCUAAACCAUGCACCGAAGCUGCGGCAGCGACACUAUGUGUUGUUGGGUAGGGGAGCGUUCUGUAAGCCUGCGAAGGUGACCUGUGAGGGUUGCUGGAGGUAUCAGAAGUGCGAAUGCUGACAUAAGUAACGAUAAAGCGGGUGAAAAGCCCGCUCGCCGGAAGACCAAGGGUUCCUGUCCAACGUUAAUCGGGGCAGGGUGAGUCGACCCCUAAGGCGAGGCCGAAAGGCGUAGUCGAUGGGAAACAGGUUAAUAUUCCUGUACUUGGUGUUACUGCGAAGGGGGGACGGAGAAGGCUAUGUUAGCCGGGCGACGGUUGUCCCGGUUUAAGCAUGUAGGCUGGUUAUCCAGGCAAAUCCGGAUAAUCAAGGCUGAGGUGUGAUGACGAGGCACUACGGUGCUGAAGUAACAAAUGCCCUGCUUCCAGGAAAAGCCUCUAAGCAUCAGGUAACACGAAAUCGUACCCCAAACCGACACAGGUGGUCAGGUAGAGAAUACCAAGGCGCUUGAGAGAACUCGGGUGAAGGAACUAGGCAAAAUGGUGCCGUAACUUCGGGAGAAGGCACGCUGGUGUGUAGGUGAAGCCCCUGCGGGUGGAGCUGAGACCAGUCGAAGAUACCAGCUGGCUGCAACUGUUUAUUAAAAACACAGCACUGUGCAAACACGAAAGUGGACGUAUACGGUGUGACGCCUGCCCGGUGCCGGAAGGUUAAUUGAUGGGGUUAUCCGUAAGGAGAAGCUCUUGAUCGAAGCCCCGGUAAACGGCGGCCGUAACUAUAACGGUCCUAAGGUAGCGAAAUUCCUUGUCGGGUAAGUUCCGACCUGCACGAAUGGCGUAAUGAUGGCCAGGCUGUCUCCACCCGAGACUCAGUGAAAUUGAACUCGCUGUGAAGAUGCAGUGUACCCGCGGCAAGACGGAAAGACCCCGUGAACCUUUACUAUAGCUUGACACUGAACAUUGAGCCUUGAUGUGUAGGAUAGGUGGGAGGCUUUGAAGCGUGGACGCCAGUCUGCGUGGAGCCAACCUUGAAAUACCACCCUUUAAUGUUUGAUGUUCUAACGUUGGCCCCUUACCGGGGUUGCGGACAGUGUCUGGUGGGUAGUUUGACUGGGGCGGUCUCCUCCCAAAGCGUAACGGAGGAGCACGAAGGUUAGCUAAUCCUGGUCGGACAUCAGGAGGUUAGUGCAAUGGCAUAAGCUAGCUUGACUGCGAGCGUGACGGCGCGAGCAGGUGCGAAAGCAGGUCAUAGUGAUCCGGUGGUUCUGAAUGGAAGGGCCAUCGCUCAACGGAUAAAAGGUACUCCGGGGAUAACAGGCUGAUACCGCCCAAGAGUUCAUAUCGACGGCGGUGUUUGGCACCUCGAUGUCGGCUCAUCACAUCCUGGGGCUGAAGUAGGUCCCAAGGGUAUGGCUGUUCGCCAUUUAAAGUGGUACGCGAGCUGGGUUUAGAACGUCGUGAGACAGUUCGGUCCCUAUCUGCCGUGGGCGCUGGAGAAUUGAGGGGGGCUGCUCCUAGUACGAGAGGACCGGAGUGGACGCAUCACUGGUGUUCGGGUUGUCAUGCCAAUGGCACUGCCCGGUAGCUAAAUGCGGAAGAGAUAAGUGCUGAAAGCAUCUAAGCACGAAACUUGCCCCGAGAUGAGUUCUCCCUGAGACUUUAAGUCUCCUGAAGGAACGUUGAAGACGACGACGUUGAUAGGCCGGGUGUGUAAGCGCAGCGAUGCGUUGAGCUAACCGGUACUAAUGAACCGUGAGGCUUAACCUU